Molecule: ribosomal RNA, 447 nt
Filed under: uncultured bacterium
Lineage: Bacteria
Description: bacterial SSU rRNA
Rfam family: Bacterial small subunit ribosomal RNA
Source: RNAcentral
GAGAAAGCUUGCUUUGAUUGAUUCACCUGAGGUGACUGAGUGGCGGACGGGUGAGUAACGCGUGGGUAACCUACCCUAUACAGGGGGAUAACAGUUGGAAACGACUGCUAAUACCGCAUAAGCGCACAGGGCCGCAUGGUCUAGUGUGAAAAAACUCCGGUGGUAUAGGAUGGACCCGCGUCUGAUUAGCUAGUUGGUGAGGUAACGGCUCACCAAGGCGACGAUCAGUAGCCGACCUGAGAGGGUGACCGGCCACAUUGGGACUGAGACACGGCCCAAACUCCUACGGGAGGCAGCAGUGGGGAAUAUUGCACAAUGGGCGAAAGCCUGAUUGCAGCGACGCCGCGUGAACGAAGAAGUAUUUCGGUAUGUAAAGUCCUAUCAGCAGGGAAGAAAAAUGACGGUACCUGACUAAGAAGCUCCGGCUAAAUACGUGCCAGCCGCCGC